GAGGGUAGAGCUCAGUGGUAGAGUGCAAGCUUAGCAUGCACGAGGUCCUGGGUUCAAACCCCAGCACCUCCA
This 72-nucleotide transfer RNA is filed under the name Camelus bactrianus (Bactrian camel). It matches the Rfam family "tRNA". From Rfam's summary of the family: Transfer RNA (tRNA) molecules are approximately 80 nucleotides in length. Lineage: Eukaryota; Metazoa; Chordata; Mammalia; Artiodactyla; Camelidae. RNAcentral also lists the same sequence under 2 other names. The record is from Rfam by way of RNAcentral.